CAUGUACAAGGCUAAUGUGACCUCAGAGCGCUUUAAAGGGUCAUAUUCUUUCCUUCCACGCCAAAGGAAGAACCGUUGCAGACAAUUUGGCACGAACUAGCUGGCAAUUAGUUGAGCAACAAUUUCAACCAUUGUAAGACUCUAUUGUGAGUGUAUCGAUGGCUGAGUGAGUGAUGCCUCCCAGGUUGCAGCAGGUAAAAUGGAGCAGGUGUAAAACAAGUGACUCCACGAACAGGAGACAGGAGUGGACGGUGUGUGUGAGGAGACAGGACUUAGUUAUGGCUGUCUGUGUGCUGAUUGCUGGGGUAUUUGGGACAUGUGGUUUCAGUAGGCUGCAUUUUUUUUGCCUUCUGUGUAAAGCAGUGUGA
RNAcentral lists this long non-coding RNA (368 nucleotides) under Struthio camelus australis. RNAcentral describes it as "lncRNA (ENSSCUG00000007977.1)". The record is from RNAcentral. Lineage: Eukaryota; Metazoa; Chordata; Aves; Struthioniformes; Struthionidae.